Molecule: long non-coding RNA, 3452 nt
Filed under: Brassica rapa (field mustard)
Lineage: Eukaryota; Viridiplantae; Streptophyta; Magnoliopsida; Brassicales; Brassicaceae
Description: long non-coding RNA (BRAP_LNC004201)
Source: RNAcentral
GCUGUAAAACAAAUUAAAUCUCACAUGUAAGUACUAAAUUAUACAAGUAUACAUACACUUCAAGAAAAAUGGAUGAUAAUAUAGUUGAUGAACUUACUUUCAAGAUCAUGGCAUCUCCUUUUGGAACAUCCACGAACAUAUCUCCAGGGACAUGUUCCACCCCAGGGUAAGAAGGUGCUUGUGCCAAGGCACAAGUCAGAUCAAAGUUGAUACCCUUAAUAUUUGGAUACUUAGAAAUAACAACACCGAGUGUGUUACCAACCCCACCUCCAACAUCAACCAACACAUUCACAUCUUUAAAGCCUUGGUAAACUUCAAGAGCCUUCUUCACGACGGCAAUAGUGAAUCCGGUCUGGUUGAAGAGCUUGCUGAAUCUUUCAUCUGUUCCCAUAUAGUCGAAGAGUUUCAUGCCGCCAUGUGCACGACCAAACGCAUCUCCUCCUUCAAGCACCACAUCUUUCAAUUGUCCCCUGAGAAUAUAUAGUAUAUCAACAACGUAAGAUUCAUUGUGUUUUUUUUUCUUUUUGGAAAAUUUAUAAUUGUUAAAUAGAAAAUUACCAUGUACUGAGGAAGACACUGUCGAAGUUGACAAUGACUUGAGAAGCAAGGGAUCCAAUAUCUUGAAUGUUAUCUUUCAAGAAGAACCUGCAAAUUGGCUCGGCUCUGUAGACCCUCUCUCCCUUUCCGGCUUGGACCGUACCACACUUGACCAUGGAGUAACUAGCGAGUAGACGAAGCAUCCGGUCUAGCAGAAUCGGUGCUCCUGGGUUACGAGGUGUGGUUGGAAGUAGAUUUGAUAUCUCGGUAGGUGAGAGGAACACCGAAGCGGCGUAGAGAGUGUCAAAGACACCGAGCUCGAGGGCAGCUUUGAGAACCAUCGGAAAGGCGGCAGCGUUGGCUAUUCUCACGGCCAUCAAGCCCAACUCGUUAUCAUCAUCAAUAACAAUUUGGGUUUUGGUGUUAGCGCUUAAUGUUUCUUCAUUAAGGAUUCCCAUUUUUUAUUUUUCUCUGCUUUGUCACGGUACCGUAAGUGAUCGCACUGAUCAGAAGCGAGGGUGGAUGGAGAAUCUGGUGUGUAUGUGUGUUUUUUCUCUUCUGGAUGAUGAUUGGAUGGAUCUUAGUUUCUUCUUUUAUAGCAAAGGCUUAGCCUACUCUUUGUUAUUUAAUUUGAAUUAACAAUAUUGUAAUAUUGUUGGCGUGCCGGUCCAUUUGGCUGGCUAAUUAGUAUCCAAGAGCCACUUGUGGCGGCUGAAACAGUCAAAUCUUGUUUCAAGUCAGUUGGUUUUUAAGUCAAUGUUCAAAGGAGACUUUAAUUAAUCACUAUAGUCGACCAAGAGUACAUCUUCAUAUCUUAUAUUUUAUAUUUCUGAAAGAGUAAUAUAUCUAUUUUCUUUUACUUUUUUGUUCUUCAAUUUGAUCGACAUAAUAUUAUAAUACUUAGACCAUCUCCAAACUAGUUUUCUAUUUCUUCCUCUAAAAUAGAAAAACUCUAUAAUAUAGAUGGAUUUGUCUCUAAUGUAUUUUUUUAUUUUUUUUUCUCUAAAAGGAAUAUUCUUCAUAUAUUCUUUUCUAAUUUUAUAAAUAGUAUUUUUUAUUUGUGAAAGUUGAAAACCAAUCCAAUUUAGUUUAACAUUUCAAAAAAUAAUGAUAUUUUUACACUGAAUAUUAUUAUAGAAACUAUUAUGUAAAUAAAAAGUAUGAUUAUAUUUAUAUAAACAGUACAUUUCACUAAAAAAUAUUUAUUUUGGUUAUAAUUGUUAAAAUAAAAAGUUAAAAGAUUGUUUUGUGAAUAAAAAAUAAGCCUCUAUUGUACAGGAAUGCUAUUUCUUCCUCUAAAUAUAGAGGUGAAAAUAACAAUCUCUAUUUUAGAGGAGGAAAUGAAAUAGGAUUGAAGUAAUUUUGCUUCUAAAUGCUAUUAUAGAGGCAAAUAUAGAGUUAGGUUGGAGAUGCUCGUCACACUUAGCUGCUACGUGAUUAGAAUUUAGAAAGAUUGCGACAUAGGAGAGGCAAAGAGUGAUGCAUAAUUUGGACCUAAGUGAGUGUAAAUCGACCUUAAUGGCCUCCAUCAUGAUUCAUGAAUUGUCCUUCCAGGAAGGUCACAAGUUUUUGGAUUGUUACUUCAUUAAUCUUGGACUUUUAAAUAGCCGUAUAAUGGACCAGUUUAAGUAAAUUACAAAGGUGUUACGUCUCUGACCGAAAUUAUCAUUGUUUUUGCAUGGUUAUAUACGGGCGUAGGCGAGGCAAAAAGGCAAUGAGUGGUUAUGGAUAGGAACGUUGCUUAUUUCUUGUGCAAAAAGAUAAUUACUCAAAUAAAUGACAUAACAACAAAAUAAACUUUAUUUUUCAUUUUCUUCCAAAACCAUGCACGAACAUUGUAUUUAAUGGUUUUGGUUCUUUUUCAUAUAAACACAUCGCUAAUUAAUUCAUUAUGUAUACAAAUUACAUGCUAUGAACAUAGAAAUCAAUAUAAUAUGAGAUACGAUGACCUUCAUCCCCUUUUUCAACUGCAUCUUCGAAUUUCUUUAUUGAAUUUUAAAGGUAGUUAUGAUUCUCUUAUCGUUGUUUCUUUUGAAAGAUUUAUUUCUAUUCCAUCUCUACUUCGAUAAGAGGCUAUGGAUCUCUGUAAUAUUUUCUUAUGUAGUAAAUGCCUCCAUGAUAAUUAAAACACAACUUUCUUCAAAAUAUAAGACUCUUGUAGCAAAGUGCUGAAACAAAGAUGUUUUUUUAUUUCAUUGCUUUGGAGUCAAUGGCAAAGUCACACUCAAACAAGGAACUGAAACAAAGAUGAAAUCGACAAACUGUUGAAGAUUUAGUAUUAUAUACAACACAUUUUAUUUGCAAAACUCAAUAAUCCAGCAGUGGUAAGCUUGACAAACGAACUUGCAAUGAGUAAAGCCUGCUUCCAUGGCUAAAGCUUCAAACUCAGCUCGUGAUCUCUCUUUUCCCCCGGAACAUUGUGUGAACAUCAACAUGUCCAUAUCAAAGGCAAUGUUCGCAUUGAUAUCUCCAUUCUCAGCGUCAUCAGGAGUGACUAGUUCUAUGACAACAACUUUACCGUUCUCCGGUAGUGAUUUCCAGCAAUUCUUAAGAAUCUUAAUGCAAUCUUCGUCGGUCCAAUCAUGAAGUAUACGCUGAAAAACAAUUUAAAUCAACAAAGUAAAUACAGAAUACUAAUUAAAUACACACAAUUAAAAAAAAGAAGUUAUAAGAUAGUUGAUGAACUUACUUUCAAGAUCAUGGCAUCUCCUUUUGGAACAUCCACGAACAUAUCUCCAGGGACAUGUUCCACCCCAGGGUAAGAAGGUGCUUGUGCCAAGGCACAAGUCAGAUCAAAGUUGAUACCCUUAAUAUUUGGAUACUUAGAAGUAACAACACCAAGGGUGUUACCAACCCCACCUCCAACAUCAACCAACACAUUCACAUCUUUGAAGCCUUGGUAAACUUCAAGAGCC